GAGCGAGUGAAACAGUGCAGUGACUGAAGAGAAUUCUCUCCCGUUUCCCAUGAUUUAUCACAGGCGAGGUCACGGCAGGUUAAAAUACUUGAACGCCGCGAUAGCAUACGUCCUGGCAUGGUUUUAUGAGUAGUCAUUCAUAACAUAUUUGUCGCAAAGCAUAAUUUCCAAGAUAGAACCCUGAUCCACAUGCAGUUUUUUUUUUCACAGCAACAACACAGGCGCAGUAACUCCUUCGUGGAGACUGCUUCCAUUUUCACAAUGUCCAGCUCCACGCUAGAGCUUCGGGGAAAGGGACCGAGGAAGUGACUGGUUCGCCAACUGAAACUACAAAUCCUAGAGCUGCAACUAUAUUUUAUAAAUGGCCCUCGUUUGGUUCCUGCAUAACAAACAAUGUCUUCUCAUUGAUGGGGGCUGUUUCAUGCGCCUGCCUUUUUGGAGAAAGAAAACAACUUCUAGUCUCAGGCUUGUAUGAAUCCAGCACUGUUUUUCACAACUUGUUUUCGCCUCAGCGACUUGACAUGGCUCCCUAUCCAUCGCCGGUCCCCACGCUCCACGGUAACGAGAUUUUAAAAACUGUCCAUUUGGCUCCUUCCUGAGGUUUUACUCAUUUUGAAACUUUGCCACGCUGGCUGGCAUGUUUCACAUUUGCUUAUCUCUGAGCUUACUCCCAAGAGCUGCUGAACUUUCCCUUCCAUGUCACUAAGCUGGGACAGAGUGAAGACGGAGAGGAAAGAGUUACUGUCUCACAAGCUGUGACUUUGUCUGUCCAGAGUGGCCCUUGGAUGCAGCUCAUUAUUUGUGGAAAUAGUGUGUGCCACGGGCAAAAAUAACUUUUUAAAAAAAGCACAUCUCUGUACCCUCCUGAAGUCAUCUCAAAAUGAAGUCAAGAUUUCUCAUGAAACGGAGAGAGCUUUAUCAUGGCCCGAGUGGGUCCUUGAGUACUUGUCCCCGCCACAUUGUCUGCUCUGAGCAACCUGAGGGUCCAGACCAAGCUAAAAGAGGCUUCAUGAUGAGCCCUGGGACAGACAAGACUGGGAGCCUUGGUGAAAGGGAGGAGACCCUGUGUCCCCGGUUUUGCCAAGUCAGCCUGGCCCAUCCUCUGACGGCUAAAUCAACACUCUUUAUCCUGUGGCGACUGAUAACGCAUCCACCGCUUCCUGCCAAGGAGGAAAUCCUGAUGGGACAUUAUCAGGGGCGAGACAUCAUCCGUCAGCCGCCGUCACAGGAACCCAGGGCUCAUCCAGACCCCACGCCAAUCUUUCCGCCUUUAUCUGCGCUCCCCAAAUGCCUCAGCCUGUUUGCUGAUAGAGGAAUCCGGCAUCUCCUUUUCUCAAGGACCCGAAAAAGAUUCUUCGAUAGCAAGAAACUAAGCGUGCCUUGCUCAGACCCCAAAGUGCCUUUCCAAAGAAUGGAUGGAAGAGGAACAGAUGCUGCCCUGAAGCUGCCCAUCGGACACGCAAAAGAAAAAGAGAAAACAGACAAGGUGACACCAAGAAGUCGGGAUGAGAAGGUGAAGAGACCCGGGAAAUCAAUGGCGACCUUGGCCAAGGCGAGGACAUGGAGUUCGGAAGGGGGGAUGGGGGGGUCCUGAGGCUGCAUAGACGCGCUGCCCUCUGCUCUCCACCUGUGCCCUGCGACCCAUCAGCUGAGCUCAGGCUGCCCCAGAAGGCGGUCCUUAAGGGGUCAGAGUGCAUGCUGACCACCCCGAGCUGUGCUUUGGACUCAGACUUACAGACACAGUCCCUCCCCGCCGGCUGAAGGCCAAGGACCACCGCUGUGGAAGGCAGAGAAGUGACCUCAGGGAGGUGCAGUCUUGGGGAGCCCUGUCCCCUUGGGUGGGAGGGGCUGGUGAUGUGACCGAUGACACUGCCAUGAGCAGGGGACACUCUGUGGCUAAAGUCAAGAGGUUUUUUUGUUUUUUGGGAUAGAGUUGCUUUAUCAUGUUGUGUUAGUUUCAGGUGUACAGCAAAGUGAAUCAGUUCUACAUAUACUUAUAUCCAUUCUUUUUCAGAGUCUUUUCCCAAAGAGGUUAUGACAGAAUAUUCCAGAGAGGAGUUCUCACUGUGGUACAGGGGAUUAAGACUCUGACUGCAGCAACCCCGGUCACUGUGGGGGCACGGUUUCAAUUGCCAGCCCAGCACAGUGGGUUAAAGGAUCCAGCAUUGCCCAGCUUCAGCAUGGGUUACAGCUGUGGCUCGGAUUCAGUCACAGGAACUUCCAUAUGCCGGGAGUGUGGAUUUAUAAUGCUGUGCCGAUUUCGGCCAUGCAGCAUAGUGACCUAGAAAAACAAUAUAUAAUAUUCUUUAUAUUUAUAUUAUAUAUUCUUUUUCUCAUACUGUUAUUUCACUUCAAUGAAAGUGAAAUAACAUAGAAUAACAUAACAUAGAAUAUAUAUAGAGAGAAUAUAUACAUUCUUUUUCUCAUACUGUUAUUUCACUUCAAUGAAAGUGAAAUAACAUAGAAUAUAUAUAGAUAGAAUAUAUACAUUCUUUUUCUCAUACUGUUAUUUCUCUUCAAUGCCCAAAACCCUUCUGGGACGUGAGCGUUUCUAACCCCGUUUUCCAUGAAGACGCAGAGCGUCUCGAGGGACUUUAAUUACUCCAGGUCCCAGGGGAGCUGAGAUUCAGAGGAUGACCUCCCCGAUCCUGGAAGCUCAUGUCUCUCCCCUCCAUCCGUCACUUCUCAGGCUCCCUCUAGGCCUGGGAGUAGCGAGGACCAGCAGAAGUGCUGCCAAUCAGAUUGCAGGCCGGAGGCUGGGGGCCGCUGGGCUGCAUUAGCCUGCCGCUCCCAAAGCCCAGCAGAAUCAGAGAUCCAUUUCCCUAGGGAAGAGCCUUUCCAAGUUUCAAAAAAAAAAAAAAAAAAAAAAGCCUGCCUAGAGAGGGGGAAGGAUGAGUCCCUAUACAAGCAUAUUUAUAUCCAUAGAUAUUCCACGCCAUAGGGGGUAUGAAUCCCAGAGGGCAGAUGUCACCAGCUACAUGCUCCGAUGGGAAAAUUGAGGAGGGCUAGGUUACCAGCAUUUCCCAAACGCACUCAAAAAAGAAACUAUGCUCCCUUACACACACACACACACACAGGCUCUCCUCUCAGGCCUGCAGAGGGAAAACAGUCCACGCCUGUCCAGCUCAUCCAGGUCAGGCAGACCCUUCCAGUUAGCGCUGGCUUCAGCUGUUUUCAUCACAACUUUCACUGAAACAAUUCUCUGCCAAGUUGUCGUGUGCCUCUCCUGAGCCCUCAAGAGCAAAAUCUGCUUGGCUUUUUUUUUUUUUUUUUUUUUAAUAUUGCUCAGAAUCAGUUUUUUCCUCCACUCAGAUAAUUCAUUAGCAUUCCUUAUCCCAGGCCUCUCUUCCCUGCAGGGCACCUCCCAGCCACCGGCAUUCCAGAGCUGGCCGGGCUUCUUCCAGGCUCCUGGGCUCUUCCCAAACCUCCCUCCACUUCUUUUCAUUGCAGGGCAGGAGCCUGGGGCUCACCAGAGAGCACAACAUGUGGGUAGAGUAAGAGAUCCCUCUGUGCCCCCUGAUGAUACAAUGCCCCUUCCCCACUGUCUGAACCAGAAAUCUGUAUGUUACAUCACACAGCAAGAGGUGUUAAGGCUGCACGUGGAAUUAAGCUCGAUAAUCAGCCAACCUUGCAACAGAGUUUAUCCAGGUGGGCCCAAUAGGAUCACAAGCAUCCUUCAACGUGGGAGAGGGAGGCCGAAGGGAGAGGGCAGAGCCAUAUCACGUGAUAAGAUCUUGCCCCACCUGCUGGCUUUGAAGAUGAAUAGGGAGCCAAGAGACAAAAACCAUGGGCGCCCUCUAAAGCUGGAAAGGGCAAGGAAACAACUCGCCCCUAAAACUUCCACAGGGGAAAGUAGCCCUGAUAAUACUGUGAUGUUAGCCCCGGGAGAUCCGCUUUGGACUUCUGACCUCCACAACCGCCAAGAUAAUAAAUGAGCAUCAUUUGAAACCA
RNAcentral lists this long non-coding RNA (3951 nucleotides) under Sus scrofa (pig). Its description in RNAcentral is "lncRNA (ENSSSCG00015039333.1)". Lineage: Eukaryota; Metazoa; Chordata; Mammalia; Artiodactyla; Suidae. The record is from RNAcentral.